UUUCUUUGGUGUUCCUGUAGGUGAUCAUGAUGCAGCCAGACUGAAGCAGCAGGUUGUGAAGGUGGACGCCAUCAUCUUGUCUUUGCAGCGCUGAUUCUGAAGAGAACGCCUUCAUAUAGGACUCAAAGGUAAAAUUGUCUCUCAUAUGAUUGGACUGUGUUAUUGUAACCGCUAUCAGCAUCAAAGUAAUUUUAGUAACAAUUUAUAAUCCUUCUUAAAAUGUAAGGAAGACUAGCAGAAGAUUUUAACAGCCUCUAUGGUUCUGCAAGAAGUCUAGUUCAUGUUUAAAUUGUUCUUCUUUCUGUCUUCAAGGAAAUCAGUGCUGAAAGGAAACAGCAGUCCAGACUCUGAUUCCAGCUCCGAAGAUGCCCUCAGAUUCAGAUCCAUCAACAACCCCUGACAACAUGGAGGACUCGUCCCCUGAGCGUUUCCUGUCCUCUCUCGAUGGAGUUCUUCUCUUCAGUUAUUAACUCUUGAAAACAGCAGCACAACAUGCCAGACUGUUUGACAAGUCUGUGAUUGAAUAAAUUGAAAUGGAAUCUCA
This is a long non-coding RNA of Labrus mixtus (cuckoo wrasse), 544 nucleotides long. RefSeq lists it as uncharacterized. The transcript is spliced from 2 exons. Lineage: Eukaryota; Metazoa; Chordata; Actinopteri; Labriformes; Labridae. The record is from RefSeq and is a predicted model, not a curated record.